RNAcentral lists this ribosomal RNA (497 nucleotides) under uncultured bacterium. RNAcentral's name for it is "partial 16S ribosomal RNA". It matches the Rfam family "Bacterial small subunit ribosomal RNA", at positions 28 to 507 of the family's 1533-position model. The record is from RNAcentral.
GAUGAACGCUGGCGGCGUGCCUAAUACAUGCAAGUCGAGCGAACAGACGAGGAGCUUGCUCCUUCGACGUUAGCGGCGGACGGGUGAGUAACGCGUAGGUAACCUACCUAUAAGACUGGGAUAACUUCGGGAAACCGGAGCUAAUACCGGAUAAUAUUUCGAACCGCAUGGUUCGAUAGUGAAAGAUGGCUUUGCUAUCACUUAUAGAUGGACCUGCGCCGUAUUAGCUAGUUGGUAAGGUAACGGCUUACCAAGGCAACGAUACGUAGCCGACCUGAGAGGGGGAUAGGCCACAUGGGAACUGAGACACGGUCAAGACGCCUAAGGGAGGCAGCAGUAGGGAAUCUUACGCAAUGGGCGAAAGCCUGACGGAGCAACGCCGCGUGAGUGAUGAAGGUCUUCGGAGCGUAAAACUCUGUUAUUAGGGAAGAACAAACGUGUAAGUAACUGUGCACGUAGUGACGGUAACUAAUCAGAAAGCCACGGCUAACUACGUG